UUGAGUUCUUGGGAGAGAGCCAGUGAGGUCUUUGAGACGAGAGCAGAUGGGAAACCUAUGAGGAGGGAGUGGUGACCCGUGUUAUCGUGAGGCUCAGAUUCGCACCCUCUAGCAUUUUCUUGAGAAAACACCACUAAUCCAACCAGAGUAGGUCAUGUCAAGUAUAUGCGCUCACAUUCAGGCAGGCCACAAGGACCUACACACACACACACACACACACACCAGCGCACGCAAACGCACACACACGGGUUCUACACUACACAAGCCCACACACAGCUUACUCAUAGCUUUGGCAAAGGUGCACAGGCUUCUCAAGCUUUGGCAAAAUGAUAUGCACAGGCAUGAAAAGAUGGAGGGAGGGGGAAGAGUUGCAGAGAGGAGGAGGAGAAUUUAUCAAAGGAUCAUUUUUGCAACAUCUGGGCCCACAAUCAGCAUCCCCCUCCCUUCUAAUUAACUUCCCUGCAUCCUCAUUUGCACCCUGCAUCCUGUCCUUUUCCAUCUUGUGCCUUUCUUUCCAGUAGAUUCCCCUCUUUCUGCGCACCGUUUCCUCACAGAAUCCUCUUCUUUUUACGCACGGCAGGAAGAGACACGUCUCCCCCCAACUCCCACUCCCCCAGUUUGUGUUUAAUGGAAGCAAAUGCAAAACACACACACACACACAUAGCCGUACACACAUGCAGACACUUCAAGAAGACGCAGUAAUGCAUGCACACAUGGCUUGAUGCAAGGUUGGAUUCUAAUGCCAUCGUCAUGGUAACACUCCCUCGCUUCUUUGUUUGCACAAACGAACGGCGCACACAUCCCAGGAAUCUGUGAGGAUUCUUAUGUAACUACACAACCCCACGCACAAAUAAGAGAGACACACAGAAAGACGGAGAGAGGCAGAUAGACAGACGGGAAUGAGUCAGUGCUACAGCACAUAUUGAGAGCAUCUGCCAUCAACGUUACCUUUCACUAUGACAAGAACAGUAUGUACCGCUGUGUUACUUCAGGCUCAUUAUAACCCACAUUCCAGCUAACACACACACACAAAUACACACACACACACACACGCACAUCAGAGGCAUCUUCAGCGUGAAGGAAGAUGUGGGGAAUAUAGCUGUUCGUCUAGUUACGGCAACACCACUGAGGCAUCAGCAUACUAAUUACUUUGUUGCCUCCGUGAGGGCGCCUGUGGCUUUUAGGUGAGAGGGGAGUCGGGGCGCUGGACAAAUGAGAGCGGGGUCAGCAGGCGUAUCACUACAGAUGUUAUGAAAGGAGCUGUAAUUCGUUCAUGGUGGCAGAAAAUUGUGUCGGAAACAGAAGGGAGAGAUAACGCCUUGCGCUGGCCUUUUCUUCUUUUUUUUUUUUUCCCUUUCCGUCGCGGUGUAUUGAUUGGAGUGUGGUGGAAUGAGCAAAGGGCAAGUGUGAAAGCAUAUGCCAUUCAGGAGGAGAAGGAGCAUUUCAGGAUGUCAUGUCAUACCUACUCUGCUAUUUAUCUUGGUGGCUGUGUGGAGAUAACGUUCCGCAUUUUGUGCCGACGACGACGAUGAUGCUGCGGAGCCCGCCCGCCCGCCCGCCCAGACGUACGCAGUCAUCCAACGUUGUGUCAGGAGUUUUGGGUGUUUGUUUUUUUUUUUUCUUCUCUUUAAUCCUAAUGCUUUCAGUGGGACAUUUAUUAAUCUCUCUGUUUCAAAAGGAGAGCGACAAAGCCUUUCAGGUGAAUAAGCGAGGGAUUCCUCCGAGGGUAUCUCCACACACCCGCUCGACGAUUAGCCGAGACAAGGCAGCAAAGCUCGCGGUUUUGUUGCCAACGCUGCAGAAGGUUGCACAAAGACGAGGCCCUGUUUCCCAUCCCUCACUCCCGACCUCUUCUGCUUCCAUAUUGCUUUUCAGCUUGUUAUCAGGUGUCGGUUUUGCCUACAGACGGCAUAUGAGAAGCUAUGUUAGUCAUUUUUGAGGCGCAUGCCAUCAUCCACCCAAAUGUCCUUUACUGUGUUCAGCAUAACAAGAUGGUGACCCACCGCCUCACUGGUCCGUAGUUCUUUUCUUCAUAAGCUAUCAAAAUAAAAAAUAAAAAAACUGGAGCACCCGGCGUGUGUUUGUGUGUUUGCCACUUGGUUAAAAGUGCGCGCGCGUUGAGAGCGUUUUCUGACUUUGAUCCUAAUGAAAGAUUUAUUCUCUCCUCCGCCGAUGUCUUGGCUGGCUUUACUAAACCAGCAUCUCUAAAUGCCGACCUUGUCACUUCAGCAUGUUGGCAGGCCAACCUCUUUGUUUGAUCUCUUGUUUCAAAGGCCCUGAAACACAAGCUGACACAGCCGAAGGAGGCGAGGCGAUUCAUUAAGAGUGCAUCCAACGGAGCUCGGUCUGCAGCGACAUGCUUGGGCUGAUUGCUGUAGAUCGUUUAUAUCUCAUUUCUUUGCUUGUUUGUCUAAUCUGUAAAUGUACUCGGAUUGCUCAACAAAUGUAUACACUCA
Poecilia latipinna (sailfin molly) is the source of this 2456-nucleotide long non-coding RNA. RefSeq lists it as uncharacterized. The record is from RefSeq and is a predicted model, not a curated record. The transcript is spliced from 2 exons. Lineage: Eukaryota; Metazoa; Chordata; Actinopteri; Cyprinodontiformes; Poeciliidae.